This 88-nucleotide transfer RNA is filed under the name Clostridiales bacterium. RNAcentral's name for it is "tRNA-Leu". It matches the Rfam family "tRNA". From Rfam's summary of the family: Transfer RNA (tRNA) molecules are approximately 80 nucleotides in length. Their secondary structure includes four short double-helical elements and three loops (D, anti-codon, and T loops). Lineage: Bacteria; Bacillati; Bacillota; Clostridia; Eubacteriales. The record is from RNAcentral.
GUCGGAGUGGUGAAAUUGGCGAGCCACCUUGGUCUUAAAAACCAAGACAUUAGAAACGCUACGGGUUCGAAUCCCGUCUCCGACACCA